This 253-nucleotide ribosomal RNA is filed under the name uncultured bacterium. RNAcentral describes it as "partial 16S ribosomal RNA". It matches the Rfam family "Bacterial small subunit ribosomal RNA", at positions 524 to 776 of the family's 1533-position model. The record is from RNAcentral.
UACGAAGGGGGCUAGCGUUGUUCGGAAUUACUGGGCGUAAAGCGCGCGCAGGCGGCUAUCCAAGUCAGUGGUGAAAGCCCGGAGCUCAACUCCGGAACUGCCAUUGAAACUGUUUAGCUUGAGGACGAGAGAGGUGAGUGGAGUUCCCAGUGUAGAGGUGAAAUUCGUAGAUAUUGGGAAGAACACCGGUGGCGAAGGCGGCUCACUGGCUCGUUUCUGACGCUCAGGCGCGAUAGCGUGGGGAUCAAACAGG